GCAUGCAUGUAUUUCAUAAUAUUCAUAAAUAUGAUUAAUUGAAUGAGUGUUCCAACUACAAACGUAAAAAUGCACAAGUUGUAACAAACCUGCAGCAGACUUGUAGCAAUGCUGUUCCAACAACUUGUCAACAGGAUGUGUUCGCACUGCUUGUUCCCAACUUGCUGACAAGUUGUCAACGGCUUGUUGACAACUUGCUACAAGGUUGUUGAGUUCAACAGACUUGUUACAAGUUGUUCCAACAACUUGUUAUCGUCCUGCAAUUCAACAACUUGUCAACAAGUUGCCAGUGACAAGCUUGUAGCAACUUGAUAAAAUAACAGCAUUGUUAGAACUCGUUUGAGAAGCUUGCUACAAGCCUAUUGCGAGCACAUCUUGUUGACAAGUUGUGACAUUUUUUCGUGUGUACGUUUUGACUUAAAUAGAAUCCAUGAUAGUGUUGGGAAAGCAUUAAGAACAGCUAACCAAGGUCGAGUGACUGCCAACUCUCAAACACUCUCAUCCUCGUUUCAUCCGGCCUAAAUCUAAAAGGUCUUUUUGUGCCAAUUUCGCACGCAGCUAGCGGUCAUAUUACACACGCAACACUAAAGGAAUACCGAAUGGUUUUCCGUGCAGGAUUGCGUGAUCCAUGAUGCACGAGGGAUGAUCGUGAUCCACUUUGCGUGAUCCAUGAUGCACGAGGCAUGAAGGAUUUUCAGAAGCGUAAAAUACUCGAGCCGCAGGUGAGUGUAUUUUUACGCUUUCCGAAAGUCGAGCAGCAUCCCAAGUGCAUGGAUCACGCUAUCCUGCUUGGAAAACCAUUUGGUAAUUGUUUUAUAAAAUAACUACAGUGAAACAAUGACAUUUUGAGAAUCGUGCAGGAUAGCCUUAUAUAUAACCUGCACGGCUAUUCACCAAUCAAAUUGCGUGUUUCACUGUAGUUAUUAUAUAAUACACAUAUCAUAG
Non-coding RNA from Paramuricea clavata, 945 nucleotides. The record is from the annotation of a GenBank genome assembly. Lineage: Eukaryota; Metazoa; Cnidaria; Anthozoa; Malacalcyonacea; Plexauridae.